Molecule: ribosomal RNA, 547 nt
Filed under: uncultured Glomeromycotina
Lineage: Eukaryota; Fungi; Glomeromycota
Description: SSU rRNA
Rfam family: Eukaryotic small subunit ribosomal RNA
Source: RNAcentral
UUGGAGGGCAAGUCUGGUGCCAGCAGCCGCGGUAAUUCCAGCUCCAAUAGCGUAUAUUAAAGUUGUUGCAGUUAAAAAGCUCGUAGUUGAAUUUCGGGAUCAAAUUGUCGGUCGUGCCUCGGUACGCACUGGUAUUAUUGGUUCCUACCUUCUGAAGAACCGCGAUGUCAUUAAUUUGGUGUCGUGGGGAAUCAGGACUGUUACUUUGAAAAAAUUAGAGUGUUUAAAGCAGGCUUACGCUUGAAUACAUUAGCAUGGAAUAAUGAAAUAGGACGUUUGAUUCUAUUUUGUUGGUUUCUAGGAUUGACGUAAUGAUUAAUAGGGAUAGUUGGGGGCAUUAGUAUUCAAUUGUCAGAGGUGAAAUUCUUGGAUUUAUUGAAGACUAACUACUGCGAAAGCAUUUGCCAAGGAUGUUUUCAUUAAUCAAGAACGAAAGUAGGGGAUCGAAGACGAUCAGAUACCGUCGUAGUCUUAACCAUAAACUAUGCCGACUAGGGAUCGGAUGAUGUUAAUUUUUUAAUGACUCAUUCGGCGCCUUACGGGAAAC